GAAAUGCGAUAAGUAAUGUGAAUUGCAGAAUUCAGUGAAUCAUCGAAUCUUUGAACGCACAUUGCGCCCGCCAGUAUUCUGGCGGGCAUGCCUGUUCGAGCGUCAUUUCAACCAUCAAGCCCCCGGCUUGUGUUGGGGACCUGCGGCUGUCCGCAGGCCCUGAAAACCAGUGGCGGGCUCGCUGUCACACCGAGCGUAGUAGCAUACAUCUCGCUCAGGGCGUGCUGCGGGUUCCGGCCGUUAAAAGCCUUUUUUACCCAAGGUUGACCUCGGAUCAGGUAGGAAGACCCGCUGAACUUAAGC
RNAcentral lists this unclassified non-coding RNA (303 nucleotides) under plant metagenome. Its description in RNAcentral is "partial contains 5.8S ribosomal RNA, internal transcribed spacer 2, and large subunit ribosomal RNA". The stretch from base 1 to 105 matches the Rfam family "5.8S ribosomal RNA", at positions 50 to 154 of the family's 154-position model. The record is from RNAcentral.